AUGGAAGAUGUUGUGCUUCUAUUUCUUCAUGCUAGGACGCCCAGAGAUACCAAGUUGAAGAACCAGAAAAAAAUGGAUAAGCUCUCAUAUCAUUCUAACAUCUCAGAUCUGUCAAGCAACAAAGAAAAACACAACAGAAGCAAACCUGGAGUUCAAUCUCGAAUUUCUAAGGUAAACGUACUGGGACAAGAUGCUUACCACCAAGAAUGUUGUUACAGUGCAGAAAGACAAAAAGAAAACACGAACCCAGUAGUUCCGCACAACUAUGGAGUACAUCAAGACCAACUGUAUGCUGCACAAAACAAAGAACUUAGAAAGCAGGAAUUAAAUGAAGUUCAGAUUGGAAAUCAAAGUUGCAAAAUGAUGAAUGAACUGCUUGCACCAGAAGGAUUUCCGCAGUCGUACACACAACUCAUGAAACAAAUGACUCUCAUGAGUCAUCUCCAAAGUGACAACAUGACUAUCCCUAUAACAAGUUUCACUUCGCUCUUGACAACAAGCAUGGAUGAUCAGUUCACAAUGAAACAACAGAUCCAAUAUCAAGCAGCUAUCAAAAUGAAGAAGCAGAUGAAGGUGCACCUAUGA
Molecule: ribosomal RNA, 585 nt
Filed under: Triticum aestivum (bread wheat)
Lineage: Eukaryota; Viridiplantae; Streptophyta; Magnoliopsida; Poales; Poaceae
Description: partial small subunit ribosomal RNA
Source: RNAcentral